RNAcentral lists this ribosomal RNA (502 nucleotides) under uncultured bacterium. Its description in RNAcentral is "partial 16S ribosomal RNA". It matches the Rfam family "Bacterial small subunit ribosomal RNA", at positions 28 to 523 of the family's 1533-position model. The record is from RNAcentral.
GAUGAACGCUAGCGGCAGGCCUAACACAUGCAAGUCGAGGGGGAGCACUGAAACAGCAAUGUUUUGGUGGCGACCGGCGGACGGGUGCGUACCGCGUAUGCAACCUACCUUUAACAGGGGGAUAACGGAGAGAAAUUUCCACUAAUACCCCAUAACAUCGAUCAAGGCAUCUUGAUUGGUUGACAACUUCGGUGGUCAACGAUGGGCAUGCGUUGUAUUAGGUAGUUGGUGGGGUAAUGGCUCACCAAGCCUACGAUACAUAGGGAGACUGGGAGGUUAGCCCCCCACACUGUGACGGAGACACGGACCAGACUCCUACGGGAGGCAGCAGUGAGGAAUAUUGGUCAAUGGGGGCAACCCUUAACCAGCCAGGCCGCGUGCAGGAAGACGGCUCUAUGAGUUGUAAACUGCUUUUAAACAGGGAUAAAGCACAGUAUGUAUGAUGUGUUGAAGGUACUGUAAGAAUAAGGAUCGGCUAACUCCGUGCCAGCAGCCGCCGUAA